Molecule: long non-coding RNA, 1687 nt
Organism: Raphanus sativus (radish)
Lineage: Eukaryota; Viridiplantae; Streptophyta; Magnoliopsida; Brassicales; Brassicaceae
Exons: 3
Source: RefSeq, a predicted model, not a curated record
UCCGUUGUAUUAUUUUAUUUGGGCUUUUCGAUUUAAGUCCAGGCCCAUUGUGGACUUAUCUUUUGUUUAUGUCCAGCCCCAAUUUAUCAUUUGCUGUCUCAGAGAAUGUAUCUAGGUCACAGCGCCGUCUUUGAUAUUGUUAAGAAGGCGCCUCUGAUGAGAAUCUAGAAACGCAUGCGGCUAUAUUUAAUAGGUCCUUUAAUCCGGGGAGUUAACAACCUUCAUCCCACUCUCCCCACUAUGUACCAUUAAUCAGAGCUCAGACCCUUCAUCUUCAAGCGGCCAAAGUUCUCCUAUAAAUUGCCAUUGUGCAGUGAUGAAGACGGCCAUAUCAAUGGAAACUACAAGUCUCAACUCUGCUAAUUAACAUCUCCAACAAUGUUUCCUUCACCAUUUUUCUUAUUUGGAAGGCGGCCGUUGUUCAACUAUGGCGGAGGUCCGUCUUCUUCGCUUUUGGGAGGCUCGAGAUAUUACUAAUGGGUGUCACGUUAGAGCGACUACAUACAAAAACAUGACUCUCAGGCUAAGGGUCAGAGAGGCUGAUAGGUUUAAUGAGAGGUUUGGAACAGGGGAAGUCGAGAGUGGUGGGACUUUGAUUCUUUAAGACAACAUCAACACUAAGAUACAGAGGAUCAGAACAUUGAGAGGGGCUGUGUUUUAGAAAUGCGUAGAGAUGCUCUUGAAACUAUAUGGGACUUAUUGCAUGGUGAUGCUUCUCUUACGUGAUAAAGAAACCAUAUAAUGUUGCUUUGCUAUUUCAGAUUUUCUUUUGCUUUUUAAUGUGUUUUGCAGUAACGUUUUAUAGUUGUUUUCUUGGGGCUGUCAAGGAUUGAACUUAUGUAUUGUCCAAGAAAAUAACAUAAUUUCUAUUUUGUGUCCAUGUCAAUCUGCCUACGUUAGUUUGACUCUGAAACUUGUAAAGCUCGCAUGUCUUAAACCGUAUGCGGACUAAACCAUUCCAUUAAUUUUUUUGGUUUUGUUACCGGUGUCGUCGUGUUUGUGAACUUGGCAUGACUCAGGCAUACAAAAGCUUCCUCAUAUUAUAAGUAUUUUAAUCCUAAACUAGGCAAGGCAAUUAAAUGUAAAAAGAUUCCCAGUCACGAGAAAAAAUGUUUUUCUAAAUAUAUGAAAUUACAAAAUCUUUUACUCUAUUUUGUACACAUGUUAAAUCAAUAAUCACGUCACGUCCCAAAGUCUUAUAGAAGAAUGACACUUCUUUUAACAGAAAGACAAUGUUCUCAUGUUCCAUAGGUCAAUUGAAGACUAAUAAAAGAGAGCGAAGAGUCUCUUAAUGGAAGACACUGUUCUCCUGUAAAAUCUUUUUGAAGGAACUUCAGAAGACGUUGAGUCAACAAAAGAUUCUCUUGAAAACUUAAAGAGCAGCAGUGCUAAAGGCAAAGUUAUUACAUAUUCAAAAGAUGCCAUUUCCAAAUGGUUUCUUACGGGGGCAAUAAGAAAACGAGACAUUCACUAUCUGUUUGGAGAACUACAAGUCUACACUCAUGGGAACAGCAUAUGCUCUCUUAUUUGUGGGGACAACUUUCAUUUUGUGGGGACAACUUUCGUUUUCUUAUUACGGGGGCAAUAAGAAAACGAGACAUUCACUAUCUGUUUGGAGAACUACAAGUCUACAUUCAUGGGAACAGCAUAUGCUCUCUUAUUUGUGGGGACAACUUUCAUUUUGUAU